UUUUUUUUUUUUUUGUUUAUAUUUUCCUCAUCCCCAAGUCAAGUGCAAGAACUCUCCCUCUAGUGUGAGUCCCACAAUUUCUUACCAUGGACUUCACUCGAUCCUGACCGUUGAUUUGGUGUGAUGAGAUUCAAUGUGGAGGUGUUGGACAUUCAACUGUUGGGAUUGUGAUGAUGAUGGUGUUUUAUGGCUCUUUGAGACCAAAAAUGGCAUUUGCCUUGUGCAAGUGGAUUUCCCUCCAUCUUAUAUGUUCAUUCUUCAAAUAGUGAUAAGAUAGUAAGAAGAUAAACAUCUUUCCUUUUGUGCUGAUUGUGUAUUUAUAAAUUAUAUAUUGUGUGUUUAAGAAACUAACAUACGUAACACAUGUGUACUGAGAAUGAGACUACGACGACCGUAAAAUAUUUGUUUAAAUGGAGGGGUGAAACAAAACAUAGAAAGAAGAAAAGUGGGACUCACAGCUAUUUUUUUCUUGUUGUGCAAAUUUGGUAUUUAUGAUCUGCGUAUCAUAUAAUUCAAAACUUGACAGCCGUAACGUAUGCAGAUCUACGUCCUGAAAAUACGACGAGUGUAAAGUGUUUGUUGGAAUUGGAGGUGUAAAAUAAAACAUGCAUUUAUUGUGUAUUUAUGAAUCAGAUAUUAUGCAUUUAAGAAGCUGACAGACGUAACAUAUGCGUACUGAGAACGAGAAUACGAUGACUGUAAAGUAUUUGUUCAAAUGGAGAGGUGAACUAAAACAUUCCUUUUUAUUUUGUGUAGACUUUGUAUUUAUGAUUAGUAGACAACUAUUCUAAGCCAUUAGAUCAGCAUUAGUGUUUACUUAAGUUUAAUAUGUGACCUCUCUCACGUUGUAGACAAGAAAUUUGAUAUGGUAGCUCCCACUCUGCUUAUAUAUAGAUAUAGAGAUACAUACAUACAUAUAUAUAUAUAUGUGUGUGUGUGUGUGUGUAUCAUCAAGUAAAAUACUUACAUUGGCAUCUACAGUUUGAGGUUCUUUAUAUUUAUGAGGAAAAAAUAGAGACUCUCUUUAAAGUUACUCAUAGUAGAGUUAAUUCUGAAGCUAAUACUUUCUUCCAUCACGUGUGUGGCUUUUUUUUUUCUUUUUUUUUUUUUUGGUAUAGAAAUGAUAGGAUUUUACGAAGUAUUUUAAUAACCAAACAUUAAACAACCACAACAAGUCACAAUGAGCCACGUCUUAGUAUUAACCUCAAUACAAAUACAUAUUGUAUUUGCAUUCGUCAGAGACAUCCAACUAAGUGGAGAUCAAAUGUCAUUAGAUCAACUCAUCGUAAGGUGUUGCAAUGUGGUUUUUAAAGUUCAAGUUAGGGAACAAUGAUUUUGUAAUUCUUCCUAAAAUCUAGAUGUCACAUAUUGACAUUGACUGUGACAUUAAAGGUCACAUAUUGACAUUGACUGUGACAUUAAAAGUCACCUUCUCAAACUCAUUCGUUUGACAGUGAAGCUAUAUUACAUUAGAUUUUUUUUUUUCAAAUACGUUUCCGACAAGAAGACGACUAAACUAAUACAAUGUAAGAAAGAGAUUCAAACUUAGGUACAAGAGGAUCGGUGCACUGCGGUGAUCAACCGGGGAAAAAACCUACUGAAGAAGGGCAAUAAUAAUAGAACAUCUGAGUUGCAAUUAGCAACACAUGUUAUUAGAAAAGAUAAUCGUCAUCCUCAUAAAUAGGAAAUGAAAAUGUCACCAGAUAUAAAGGGCUGUAUUGAAGAAAUUAUAUACAAUGAGGGGAGUAAGAAGAAAUUAUGAUGAUUUCAUAACACAUAUCCAUGACCAGACUUUGUGUUGAGCUCAAUGCACUGAGGUGAGGAGACUAAGGCCCCGUUUGGUAUUGUUUUUUUUUUUUUACUAAAAACUGCUUAACUUUAAAUUUAAGCAGUAAAAAAGUGUUUUGGUAAAAGUAAAAUAUCCUGCUUAUUUUAAAAGUAAUGUUUUCCAGACAACAACUUUUAAAAGCAGCAUGUAGGUUGCUUUUAAAAGCUGCUGUAAUAAAAAGCAGAGUUGGUUCUUUAAUAAUUAUUUUCAAUUGUUGUAAUACCUUCAUUAAUUUUUUUAAAUGACAUUGUUUAGCCUUCCACACACAUUCUGUCCCUUAGAGAACAAAGUAAACAUCACCACCUACCACUACAAAUACUAACCUCACACCUUUGUCACCACCACCGCCAUAACCACAAUCUCCACCACUGUCAUCACUACCAUCAUUGUCACCACCAUUACCGCAACCGCCACCAUUGCCACCACAACCACAAUUGCCAUUACCACUAUCAUUGCCGCCACCGCCGACACCACCAUAUCGGCAACCACCACCACCAUUACCAUCACUGUUGUCGUCACCCCCACUCCUACUACUACUAUGUCCAUUUGUGAUUGUAUACAAUUAUAUCACUUUUACAUUAAUUUUUACCAAAUGCUUUUGCGUUGCUUUUCAUACUCAAAGCACUUUUAAAAUUCAAUUAACAUCAACUUUAUUUUAUAGCUGAUUAUUCUUAAAGUAUAGUAUAAGCAGUUUUUUUUUAAAAGCACAACAAUCCCAAACUGGCCCUAAGUAGUGGCUGCUGCUUGUUCCUCCGCUGCCUCCGGUUGAAGGGUGCAUAUGAGGUUACGGUCACCAUACACAUUGUCAACUCGUCCUGAUACAACAGUUAACGAAAUUCAAUCGUCAAUAUAAGCAAUCGGAUAGCACCAAAAUGAAAGUAUAGCAAACACUUAGCAACUUCCAUGCCAUUGUAGUUUAUUUUUGGCGUAAAUUGCGUACCUGUAGUAGGCCAGAACUUGGAAGAACGGAGCCAGGAAGCGGGGAAGGCUGCAUAUUCCCGGGAAUAUGGCUUUGUCCAUGCAUCUCCGAUGAGCAGUGAUGGCGGGUGAGGAGCUCCCUGCAGAAGGAGUUCAAAAACCAUUUAUAUUUAAAAUGAGUAACUGAUAGUUCUUGGAGGAGAGAGAUGAACAGAACUUUUACUUUAAGGACGUUGUUAAGAAUAUCAGCUUUUCCUUUCUGAAUCAGAGCAAUCUCUUCUCUGAUGGAAAUUAGAGCAUCACAAAACCUGUCUAACUCGGCCUGCAAGCAAGAAAAACUAAUAUACUUUAGCUCGAAGAAAAACAUCAGAGAAAAAAAUUAACUGAAAUCUUUCUGUUGGGUUGUACCUUGCUUUCACUUUCUGUUGGAUCAAUCAUGCGAGUGCCAGGAACUGGCCAUGACAUUGUUGGUCCAUGGAACCCGUAGUCCAUAAGACGCUUGGGGACGUCCUCAGGCUCUAUCCCAGCAGUAUUCUACAAGGAAAAAAGAAGCAGCAGAGUUCAAUUAGAAAGAGAUUGAAAAAGCGGACAAAUCAAGGCAAAUGCUAAGAAUAUACCUUAAAUCCUUUCAAGUCAACAAUGAAUUCAUGGGCAACAGUUCCAUUGACACCAUGGAAAAGAAUGGGGUAGUAAUUCUGUAAGAAAUGACAGACAAAUUUAGCAUACAGAGGAAAUUUAACAUGGAGUAUAACCGUAAGCUCAAAUUGUAAAGCAAAACAAGAGUGAAGGAGCAAACUGGAACCUCCAAGCGUUUGGCCAUGCAGUUUGCAUUCAGAAUAGCUAUGAUGAUAUCUUUGAUGCAUCGGUGAGUCCCUUGGACCCCAUCAUGGCUAUGUAAGUAUAAGAGAUUGGCAAAAUAAGUGCAGAGCCCAAGGUGCGGCAGAGAUGGUUUCGAGUGGCUGAGACUUGUGGAGGGCAGGAGGGCCACCGGUAGAUACCAUGUGUACAAUGGCACAAUUUUUUUUGUUUGUUUAUAUUUUCCUCAUCCCCCAAGUCAAGUGCAAGAACUCUCCCUCUAGUGUGAGUCCCACAAUUUCUUACCAUAGACUUCACUCGAUCCUGACCGUUGAUUUUGUGUGAUGAGAUUGAAUGUGGAGAUGUUGAACAUCCAAGAUGGUGGUGUUUUAUGGCUCUUUGGGACCAACAAUGGCAUUUGCCUUAUGCAAGUGGACUUCACUUCAUCUUAUAUGUUCAUUCUUCAAAUAGUGAUAAGAUAGUAAGAUGAUAAACAUCUUUCCUUUUGUGUUGAUUGUGUGUUUAUGAAUAAGAUAUUGUGUGUUUAAGAAGUUGACAGACGUAACACAUGUGUACUGAGAAUGAGGAUACGAUAACCGUAAAAUAUUUGUUUAGAUGAAGGGUUGAAACAAAACAUAGAAAGAAGAAAAGUGGGCCUCAUUGCUAUUUUCUUUUUUUUUUGUUGUGCAUAUUUGGUAUUUAUGAUCUACAUAUCAUAUAAUUCAAAACUUGACAGCUGUAACACAUGUAGAUCUGCAUACUGAAAAUACGACGAGUGUAAAGUGUUUGUUUGAAACGGAGGUGUAAAAUAAAACAUGCAUUUAUUGUGUAUUUAUAAAUAAGAUAUUGUGUGUUUAAGAAGCUGACAAACGUAACUCAUGAGUACUGAGAAUGAGAAUACGACGAUUGUAAAAUAUUUGUUCAAAUGGAGAGGUGAAAUAAAACAUUCAUUUUUAUGUUGUGCAGAUUUUGUAUUUAUGAUUUGCGUAUUGUAGAAUUUAAAACUUGAUAGCUGUAACGCAUGCAACUAUCCUAAGCUAUUAGAUCAGCAUUACUAAGUUUAAUAUAUAAUCUCUCUCGCAUUGUAGACAAGAUAUUUGAUAUGGUAGCUCCGACUCUAAAGUAUUUCAUUAAGAUACUCAUUCUAUAAAUGGACUAUUAAAAAAACUAUAAAAAAAAAAGCAAGGAGAUGAAAAAGCUUGUUACGUCUCGAAUUGAGGACAGUGAAAAAAAAUAACCUCGUGGUUAAUUUAAAAAAAAUGAAAAUAAAACGAAAAUGAACUUCUAUUGUACAAUAAAUUUUGAAACUUUACAAGUGUACAAGAAUAAUAAAAAUAUUAUGCCGCUUUUCUAACACAAUUUCUGCUCUUCUACCAUUUAUUAAUUUUGUAUUGAAUAUGUAAGGUCUAAAAUGUAUAAGGGGAAGGACAUAAGUUUUAUCAAGGAUAAUUGUCAAGACUAAACCAACACAUAAUUCAAUCAUAUUUCAUGAUAUCAAAUAUCACCAACAUAAAUUAUAUUUCAUAAAUACAGCUUAACUUCAUUACAGUGACAAUUUAUCUCAAAUGCCAAAAACCUGCAUUUUGCUUGAUAGUUUGAGUAAAGGUUACAAUACUUUCUUUACUGUUGCUCACAUUUCUUGUAGUGAACGGAAGCGAAAUCAAGGUCCUUCCAAGUAUAUCUCUUGGACUCUCCAACAACUCAUCAAGAAGUCGCAAUCGGAUGUGUUCGAUGCAAAGAUUGACAGGCCUAUUGAGCCUGCAUGUACGACCAACACCUUCGAUCAGUUGCUCAAGAUCUUCAAGUAGUAGAUUGCAUGCUCGCAUACGUUGCACAGCCUUGCCUUCGUUGAUUACCAUUAAUUAUUUGUUUCUUAUUUAGUAUUUUCAAUUAAUUUUUGUGUUCGAGAUUUGUUAUAUAGACAUGUUUUCAAGUUCUACAACAUUCAGAACAUUGUUGUAAAUGUCGGCUUUUCCUUUUUCAAUCCGAGCUGAAGACUUAAGAGGUGGCUGCCGCUUGUUCCUCCACCGCCUAAGGGUGUAGAUGAGGUUGCCUUCACCACACAUAUUGUCAACACGCACAUCCAGAUAUUGUAUAGCUAUCAACGAAAAUCGUCACUAAAAGUAAUCAGAACAAUACCACACUGUACAUACCUGAAACUCCUCCAAGAAAUUGAUAUCUACGCUCACUAAAAAACCUAAGACAUAAACUUGGUCUCCACUAUUGAGAGUUCAUAGUGGAGACCAAGGAAUGAAUGAUCAUCCUUGAAUGAUCAUCCAUCCACAUUUUUUAAUUAGUGACCAAGGAGUGAAUGAUCAUCCAUCCUUGAAUUUGGAUAUGUUUUUAUUAUUUUAAUCUCAACCCUUAAUAUCAGAUCCAAGGGCAAAUGACUAUGAAUUCUUGGUCCCCAAGCAAUACAAGGUCAAUACUCCUAUGAUAUUGUUUUCUUAUUUAUCAAUUUGUUCCGAAUAUUAUGGUUUUUUGGACCAACUUGGAAACCCUUGCAGACUAGUAUUUGGAAACCCUUGCCGCUUUUACUCAUUAUAUUUACAUUGCUAGACUUUCUUAGUUUCUCAAUUCUUACCUUCCAGUUUGUUCUCUUCCCUAUUCUCAAUAUCUUCACGUCCAACUAGCUCUAGCUUUCAGAAAACCCUAGUUUUUUUCCUCUCGUCUAUAACAGUUUCUUCUGUUUCCAAAUAAACCCUAGCUUUCAUAAACCCCUAGUUUUGUUUCUUUCGUUUAGUCAAGGAGAAGUACAAACAAUGAAUCUUUCAAACAUUCUUCAAGAAAAGACGAGUAUGUUCAUCAAGAAGUUGAGCAAGUCCCAGUACUCCAAGAAAAGUUACACAGCUUUAAGCAAGCCCCAGCCCCCUAAGAAAGGUUAUAUCAAUGUGUACGUUGGACAAGAACGAAAGCUAUAUCAGAUUCCUUUGAAGUAUCUCUUGGAUCCAACUCUCCAACAACUCAUCGAGAAGUCGCAGCCGGAUGUGUUCGACUCAAAGAUUGACGGGCCAAUUGAGCUUGCAUGUACGACCCACACCUUCGACGAGUUUCUCAAGAUCUUCAAAAAGUAGCAGACUGCAUGCGUGCGCAGCCUUGUUUGAUUAAUAUUGAUUAUUUGUUCAUUUUUUUGUACUUUGAUUUAAUUUUUGUAUUCGAGGUUUAUUAGUUAUUGAUUCAGAUGCACAAAAAUUAACGUUUUUGUACAGCCUCUCAACCUCAUCCGUUUGACGGUGAGGAUAAAUAAUAUACAUUGAUUUUUUUUUUCAAAUAUGUUUUUGGCAAUCGGGCGCCUAAACUAAUCUAACGUAAGAUGGAGAUCCAAACUUAGGUGCAAGAGGGCCGACGCACUGCAGUGCCCAACUGGGAACAAAACCUAAUGAAGAAGGGCAAAAAUAAUUACAACAUCUGAGUUGCAAUUAGCAACAUGUUAUUAGAAAGGAUAAUUGUCAUCAUCAUAAAUAGGAAACGAAUGUCACCAGAUAUAAAGGGUAUAUUGAAGAAAUUAUAUACAAUGUGGGAGUAAGAAGAAGAAAUUGAUGAUGAUUUCAUAACAUAUCCAUGACCAGACUUUGUGUUGAGCUCAAUGCACCGAGCCGAGGAGAUUAAGCAGUGGCUGCUGCUUGUUCCUCCACUGCUUCCGGUUGAAGGGUGCAGACGAGGUUACGGUCACCAUACACAUUGUCAACGCGUCCUGACACAAUAGUUAACGAAAUUCAAUCGUCAAUAAAAGCAAUCAGAGAGUACCAAAAUGGAAGUAUAGCAAACACCUGGCAACUUCCAUGCCAUUCUAGUUUCUUUAUUUUUGGUGUAAAUUGCAUACCUGUGGUAGGCCAGAACUUGGAAGAACGGAGCCAGGAAGCGGGGAAGGCUGCAUAUUCCCGGGAAUAUGGCUUUGUCCAUGCAUCUCCCAUGAGCAGUGAUGGCGGGUGAGGAGCUCCCUGCAGGAGGAGUUCAAAAACCAUUUUUAAUUAUGUAAAAUGAGUAACUUAUAGUCUUGGAGGAGAGAGAUGAGCAGAGCCUUUACUUUAAGGACAUUGUUGAGAAUAUCGGCUUUUCCUUUCUCAAUCUGAGCAAUCUCUUCUCUGAUGGAAAUUAGAGCAUCACAAAACCUGUCUAACUCGGCCUGCAAGCAAGAAAAAUAAUUACUUGAACUCGAAGAAAAACAUCAGAGAAAAAAUCAAAGGAAAUUUUCUGUUGGGGUGUACCUUGCUUUCACUUUCUGUUGGCUCAAUCAUGAGAGUGCCAGGAACUGGCCAUGACAUUGUUGGUCCAUGGAAACCGUAGUCCAUAAGACGCUUGGCAACGUCCUCAGGCUCUAUCCCAGCAGUAUUCUACAGGAAAAAAAAGCAGCAGAGUUCAAUUAGACAGAGAUAAAAAAUGCGGACAAAUCAAGGCAAAUGUCAAGAAUAUACCUUAAAUCCUCUCAAGUCAACAAUGAAUUCGUGGGCAACAGUUCCAUUGACACCACGGAAAAGAAUGGGGUAGUAAUUCUGAAAGAAAUGACAGACAAAAUGAGCAAACAGAGGAAAUUUAACAUAGAGUAUAACCAUAAGCGCAAAUUGUAAAGCAAUACAAAAGUGAAGAAGAAAAGUGGAACCUCCAAGCGUUUGGCCAUGUAGUUUGCAUUCAGAAUUGCUAUCUUUGAUGCAUCAGUGAGUCCCUUGGACCCCAUCAUGGCUAUGUAAGUAUAAGAGAUUGGCAAAAUAAGUGCAGAGCCCCAAGGUGCAGCAGAGAUGGUUCCGAGUGGCUGAGACUUGUCAGGGACAGGAAGGCCACCGGUAGAUACCUUCAGUACAAUAGCACAAAACUUAGACAUCCAGCAUGUAAGGAAUUACAUUGUUUCUCAUGUAAACCAAAUUGAUUAUUUCUGAGUUUACAGAAUCGGUUGAAAAGCUUCAACGUUAAGAGUAGUUACCACAGGAUGGGAUGGUAAGAAGGGUGCCAAGUGCUUCUUCACACCAAUAGGACCCAUGCCAGGGCCACCACCUCCGUGUGGAAUGCAAAAUGUUUUGUGGAGAUUGAGAUGGCAAACGUCAGCUCCAAUCCAACCUGGGCUUGUCAGACCAACCUGCAAGAACAAAAAGCUUGUUAGAUUGGACAUGCGCCAGCAAAAGAAAACAGCCUGCAGGGCAGAAACUGUUUGAAUUUAUGUUUCAAGGACAUAACUAUCAAGCAUGGAUAGGAUAAGAUACAGACCUGUGCAUUCAUGUUAGCCCCGUCCAUGUAUACUUGACCCCCGUUGUCAUGAAUGAUCUUACAUAUCUCAUCAAUACCUUCUUCAUACACUCCGUGAGUUGAAGGAUAUGUCACC
This 8855-nucleotide long non-coding RNA is filed under the name Malus domestica (apple). RNAcentral describes it as "long non-coding RNA (MDOM_LNC007296)". Lineage: Eukaryota; Viridiplantae; Streptophyta; Magnoliopsida; Rosales; Rosaceae. The record is from RNAcentral.